CCACCAACACCGAGCUCUCUCUCUCUCUCUCUCUCUUUCGUUCCUCUCCCACCUUCUUUUUCCUUCCCCUCCGUUCGUUCUGGCUCCUCCGUCAUUCCCCUCCAGCCCCUACCCUACGAAAUACCGAUCCUCUCCACCACGUCCCUCACCUGUGGCUCGUUCCUGCGGCCGCAGGGGCCGCUGGCUGACUCCCCAGGUCGACUGACUGAGCUGACUGUCUCUACGGCUGGCUGGCUCGGCGUAACCACCCAGCCACUCGACCAGCCAGCCACCUUCCUUCUCUUGCGUGUGUAUCGCAGGUCGGCUGGAGUUUACCUGGCGUUACCUGCCAGCCUGCAGCCUCAGUUCACUCACGUCACUUCGAGCAACCGGUUCGCGGAGUCCUCCCGGCUGCGGCUCCUACGACUUUAAAAGCCUCCUCUCUGCCUCAAUUUUUUCCUUCUACGUACGCACGUAACCGCCGAUCUUCUUCCUUGCCCAACUCUCUGCCGUAACCCCUUCUCUCUUCCCUUCCUUCGCUUCUUCUUAUACUAUUUCUUCUUCUUCUUUUUCCUCUUCGUCUUUUUCUUCUUCUUCUUCUUUUCUACUUAGUUCGACGUCUCUUGGUCGCGGUCUUCUUCCUCCGUUGCUGCUCGUCCAUCCUCGUAUACGCGUGAUGUUUUCAUCGGAAAGAAGAAAAUAUACCGUCUCGUGGUGACUCGUUUACUGGAUCGGAACAUGGAACGAUCGAGAUACAAACGAGUCGUGUUCCGUAAAUAAUACAUUGUCUCUCGGGUUCUACGUUCAACGUUCGAGAAAAUACAAGGCGUGAAGGAAACAGGGAAUGUGGACGCUGGAAACUGGACGACACAGUGAAAUGUUGAUGCCACUCUUCGGAAGAAGGUAUUGCCACGGUCAGUGAGGAAGGUAUGGUGGAAGAGAUCUGUUUGCCAAUAAGAGAUCUGUACCGAGCAUCAUUCUCUUUCGACCACAGAGGUACACAGAUAUUGGGAAUUAUCGUUUCUCAGGCUGGAUACACGUACCAGAGCUUGGACUCUGUAAAUGGCACUGGAAGAAUUCACGGGGGAUAUAAAGAAACGGGCCCGUGGAGCUCCCGUGUCAUACACAGCGUCCGGCUAUGCAACGCGAUAAGCUCGAGGGAAAAUGAUGCACGUACGUCAUCGAGGGCAUCAUUAUCAAUCUUUAAAUAAAAAAGAAGAAAAAAAAAUUCGUCGUAUUCAGGUCAGAAGUAAUCGAACAACUGGAAUACCCGGAAAUCGUCCAACUCGUUUACGUGACAAGUAUAUAACCAGUAUCAACAAAAGUGGUAACACCGGGGAGGAAUCAGGCUGUACGAAGAUAAGAGAUCGUUAACGUACGUCACGGAACGUGGGGUCGACUUUUUCGAGCUCGACGACGAAGAAGAAAUUCUUUUAGAGCGGGCCUCGAAAUCGAACGAAUCAGCGACGAUAACGUUCUCGUUCCAUCUGGGGGGAAAAAAAAUAAUUAUAAACGGGCCUAAUUGGAGAAGGGGAAAAAAGGACUUUUUUUAACGCUAUGGAUGACAACAUUUUGUAUAUCGAUUUCUCGGAUUACGUGCACGUGGUGGACGAAAGCUCGACCAUCGUCGACUUGGCAACAGGCGACUUGGCGACCUUCCUCGAUGAAAAGGCGGCGCGAUGGCGAACAUAGCACAGGGAUACGAGGAAGAAGGCGCGCACAUUUGUCGAGCGAGAAAUGCUUGUCCACGUGGAAGAGGGGAACGAGACGAAGACGGGUGGCUAACCGGAAAUACAGCUCGCUCAGGCAAAAGAAGAAAGUGUCAGAGAAAAAGGCUACGGCCAGGGUCUGCGUGGAUCGAUUCGCGACGCGACUCGACGAGCAACACCUGUCGCACGAGUCAACCGAGUAAGUGCAUUCGUCCCUUCUUUCAUUGUUCACGAUGAAAAGGUUGGGGAAACGUACGGGGAAUAUCAUUUGAAUCCCGUUUUUGCGCGGUCAUCCUAUUAGCGGGAACGCGGUAAUACCGUAAAAGAGAUUCGAGAUUAGGCGAUUUAUGAGGAGGGAUGGAUUUUUGAGAGAAGAAUUCUUCUUUCUGGUCGGAUGCGCGAACAACGAUCGGAUAGUCGAAUCUCAUCAUUCGGAUUCUUGACACGCACGACAUCGAGAACGCGUGUCAUCGAUCAGAAUGUAAACCGGCAACGAAAUAAGGUUUACCCGUCCAAUAAAACGGACGAAUCAUAAUGGCAACGUUUGAUUACCUGUUGCGUCACACCUGUUGCCGUCCAUACGCGAACCACGUGACGGUAGUGGCCGUGAAAAGAUUUUCUCAUUGUGUCCCGACGUUUGUAUCGAUCGUGUGGACGAGCCCGAUGCCAACGUUAUACGUUUAAAGUGGCCAAACAGCGUAUUGCGAUUAUACGUGUAUAUAUAUAUGUAUAUACCUUUUCUGCAUCCACACGUGAAAUCAAUAGGGGUAACGAACACGAAACGAUACAUAAUGUUAAUUGCUUUCGUAUCGUCGAUCCUAAGAUGCCAAAUGGAGAAGCGGGCGAACAAGUGGGCCACACCAUCGAUGGAUUCUAGAAUCCAUUUUCCAAGUUAGAGUUGGGGUUACUUAUCAUCAUGCAGGUGUCGUGCGAUAAUCUUCUCUGUAAACGACAAACGUUGUUCUUUUUUUUCUUUUUUUUUGCUUUCCACGCGUCAUUACACAUGCUGGUAAGGUGACUCAACUGUUAUGCAUUUUACCAGAUACGGAAUAUUUUAUAAUCGGGACUGUUUCUAGGCAUCUAGGAGUCCUGUUAAGCGAAUUUGCAACUUGUUCGCGGAGGAUCUUCACCUCUCUCUUUGAAAGGAAUAUUUUCGAUCUCUGAUGUCGAUAAAGCACCUUCCCGUUUGAUCGUGCUCGCGUCCUCGUAAGAAUCUUUCGAUCUCAUUGUUCGUGGGCAGCAGGGCAGAAAGCGGCGCUUCCGGUUUCAAGUUGGCUCGCAGCACGACGACGGCAGACAGAGCAUAGGGCCCGGUUGCAUCGUUCGGCCAAACACCUGCACCGCAUUUCACGGGUAAAAGGAUCAAGGUCUGCACGAGCUUACAUACGCCUCGUUACGCAACACACAAACCAAGUGGUAUAUAAUUGAAGGUGAUUCGAUAUAAAAAUCGAAGGAAAUCGAUGGAGAAUUAAAGCGAAUCGUUCGCAGUAUACGUGAGUAUCGGGAACAGGUAAUCGCCUUCUCUUUUUUUAUAUUUCAUUUUUACUUUUCGUUCAAACUAUAAUAAACGCGAUUAAAGAAAUUGGUGGCGGAUGAUAAUUUAGAAAAUUUAAUCAUACUUACAGCCAGGCUCGAUCGAUGGAAAAUUGUCAUGGCGAACCAACGAGCGCUUCGUGGAACCGGAAGUCUCCGUGAGACCACCGUGGAUGUUCGAAAAUAUAAUAUGUAUCUCGUAUCAUCUUCUAUCCGUAUCUGGAAACCACUCGAAACAUAAGUGUUAUCGUUUUGUAUAUCGCGUGUAAUACCUGUUAUUACUAUCAAUAGUAGAAUGAUACAUCGAGAAUAUUGGCUUAACUCGCGUUCGCAAAGCAAACGGUUUCUUUUUAAAAAAUUCAUAAAUACGUGGUUAUUAGUAAAUAUGUAUAACGAUAUAUCGUGGUUAGAUAAAGUAGGUUAUUGGAUGUUAAUAAUCCGAAUUAGCUAUUCACGAACGCGCCCAUCCGCUUCCGAGUACGUGUGCAACCCACACACGGCUUCACGCCCAUGCCACACCAUCGGAGAAUGGUUAACUUUAUGAUUCAUGAAACUUAUCUUUAUGGUCAGGUGAGUAACAUCGCCGGUCCCAUAACAAUGGGGAAAUAUGGACGGCAGACGAAUCCUCAUCGAGCAUAUUGUCAGAUACACGUGAGCAUACACGUAUGCAACGUUUAAUCAACGUGCAUGAGGUCAACGUGUCAUUUGCUCGUGGCCUUUCACCGCGAUCGGAUCAAACCCUUGCCGAUCGUAAAGCAAGAAUAUCUGUCGUGGAAUCGAACGGAGAUAUAUUCGAUAGAAAUAGAAAAUAAUCCGAUCGAUAUUCGCCGAUCGAGCGUUGUAACUAUCCUAUUUAUUUUCUAAACGAAGAAAUACGGAGUUGAUUCACAUCCAGAAGUCGUGGGCGAGCACGAACGUCAUUAAAGUCUGUAACUUUCCCGUCCUUGGCGAGUAAACGAUAUUUUCUGCGGGACCGAAUUGUCCGAUCUUCAUUCUGUCGGUGUCGAUUCUUGGACAAGGGGAGAAUUAUUCCCGCGAAACGACUCUCUGCCGUUGUUUCCAGAUGGUUAACUUCGUUUUGAAAAUGUAAAAAUAAUCGAAGAACGAUAUCUCGUUGUCUCGUCUUUCGAGAGGAAAAUACAAAAUUCUAUUUUGUAUCCUGGUCCGGAUUUUUGAACGCUGUUGAAUUAUUUUUCGAAUCCUCUCGGGAACAUUCGUCUUUUUUUUUUUUUUAAAUUAUCGGCAAUAAAGAAGAUAAAUAUUGACAAGCAGGCGAGAUCAGAAGCGUAUAGGAGAUACAUCAUCGACUUUAUUGCCGAUCCGCGCCGCUCGUGCGAGAAGAAUUACAGUGGGAAAAAUGUUCUGGUUGUAUAGGUUGUAUGAAUAAAAGAAACGAUAUUCCAGAGAGAAAGAGAGAGAGAAAGAGAGAGA
Molecule: long non-coding RNA, 4652 nt
Organism: Apis florea (little honeybee)
Lineage: Eukaryota; Metazoa; Arthropoda; Insecta; Hymenoptera; Apidae
Source: RefSeq, a predicted model, not a curated record